Molecule: ribosomal RNA, 253 nt
Filed under: uncultured bacterium
Lineage: Bacteria
Description: partial 16S ribosomal RNA
Rfam family: Bacterial small subunit ribosomal RNA
Source: RNAcentral
UACGUAGGGUGCGAGCGUUAAUCGGAAUUACUGGGCGUAAAGCGUGCGCAGGCGGUUUUGUAAGCCAGAUGUGAAAUCCCCGGGCUUAACCUGGGAAUGGCAUUUGGGACUGCAAGGCUGGAGUUUGGCAGAGGAGACUGGAAUUCCUGGUGUAGCAGUGAAAUGCGUAGAUAUCAGGAGGAACACCGGUGGCGAAGGCGGCGACCUGGGUAGAUACUGACGCUGAGGCGCGAAAGCGUGGGGAGCAAACAGG